Molecule: ribosomal RNA, 382 nt
Filed under: uncultured bacterium
Lineage: Bacteria
Description: bacterial SSU rRNA
Rfam family: Bacterial small subunit ribosomal RNA
Source: RNAcentral
GACGAACGCUGGCGGCGUGCUUAACACAUGCAAGUCGAGCGGUAAGGCCCUUUCGGGGGUACACGAGCGGCGAACGGGUGAGUAACACGUGGGUGACCUGCCCUCAGCUCUGGGAUAAGCCUGGGAAACCGGGUCUAAUACCGGAUAUGACUCCAUGACGCAUGUUGUGGGGUGGAAAGCCUUGUGCGGCUGAGGAUGGGCCCGCGGCCUAUCAGCUUGUUGGUGGGGNGAUGGCCUACCAAGGCGACGACGGGUAGCCGGCCUGAGAGGGCGACCGGCCACACUGGGACUGAGACACGGCCCAGACUCCUACGGGAGGCAGCAGUGGGGAAUCUUGCGCAAUGGGCGAAAAGCCUGACGCAGCGACGCCGCGUGAGGGAUG